This 425-nucleotide ribosomal RNA is filed under the name uncultured bacterium. RNAcentral describes it as "bacterial SSU rRNA". It matches the Rfam family "Bacterial small subunit ribosomal RNA", at positions 356 to 773 of the family's 1533-position model. The record is from RNAcentral.
GGGGAAUAUUGGACAAUGGGGGCAACCCUGAUCCAGCCAUGCCGCGUGUGUGAAGAAGGCCUUCGGGUUGUAAAGCACUUUAAGCGGGGAGGAAGGCCUGAUGGCUAAUAUCCAUCGGGAUUGACGUUACCCGCAGAAUAAGCACCGGCAAACUUCGUGCCAGCAGCCGCGGUAAUACGAAGGGUGCGAGCGUUAAUCGGAAUUACUGGGCGUAAAGCGCGCGUAGGUGGUUAAGUAAGCGAUCUGUGAAAGCCCCGGGCUUAACCUGGGAACUGCAGGUCGAACUGCUUGGCUAGAGUAUGGUAGAGGGGUGUGGAAUUUCCUGUGUAGCGGUGAAAUGCGUAGAUAUAGGAAGGAACAUCAGUGGCGAAGGCGACACCCUGGACCGAUACUGACACUGAGGCGCGAAAGCGUGGGUAGUGAAC